This 69-nucleotide microRNA precursor is filed under the name Orchesella cincta. RNAcentral describes it as "mir-2 microRNA precursor family". It matches the Rfam family "mir-2 microRNA precursor family". Rfam says of the family: The miRNAs are transcribed as ~70nt precursors (modelled here) and subsequently processed by the Dicer enzyme to give a ~22nt product. In this case the mature sequence comes from the 3' arm of the precursor. The record is from Rfam by way of RNAcentral. Lineage: Eukaryota; Metazoa; Arthropoda; Collembola; Entomobryomorpha; Orchesellidae.
UGUCACGUCAAAUUGUCUGUGGUGUGUUAUUUUUCCUCCACAUAUCACAGCCAUAUUUGACGAGUUCCG